GUGAGGAAUAUUGGUCAAUGGGCGGAAGCCUGAACCAGCCAUCCCGCGUGCAGGAAGACGGCCCUAUGGGUUGUAAACUGCUUUUCCAGGGGGCGAAACUCUCCGACGUGUCGGGGUUUGACGGUACCCUGGGAAUAAGCAUCGGCUAACUCCGUGCCAGCAGCCGCGGUAAUACGGAGGAUGCGAGCGUUAUCCGGAUUUAUUGGGUUUAAAGGGUGCGUAGGCGGAUUAGUAAGUCAGUGGUGAAAACCUGCAGCUUAACUGUAGACUUGCCAUUGAUACUGUUAAUCUUGAGUGUGGUCAAGGAAGGCGGAAUGUGUAAUGUAGCGGUGAAAUGCUUAGAUAUUACACAGAACACCGAUUGCGAAGGCAGCUUUCUGGGCCAUUACUGACGCUGAUGCACGAAAGCGUGGGGAUCGAACAGGAUUAGAUACCCGGGUAGUCC
RNAcentral lists this ribosomal RNA (445 nucleotides) under uncultured bacterium. RNAcentral's name for it is "bacterial SSU rRNA". It matches the Rfam family "Bacterial small subunit ribosomal RNA", at positions 354 to 796 of the family's 1533-position model. The record is from RNAcentral.